GAAUUUUGGACAAUGGGCGAAAGCCUGAUCCAGCAAUGCCGCGUGCAGGAUGAAGGCCUUCGGGUUGUAAACUGCUUUUGUACGGAACGAAAAGCUUUGGGUUAAUACCCUCAAGUCAUGACGGUAACGGUAGAAUACGCACCGGACAAAUACGUGCCAGCAGCCCCGGUAAUACGUAGGGUGCAAGCGUUAAUCGGAAUUACUGGGGGUAAAGCGUGCGCAGGCGGUUUUGUAAGACAGAGGUGAAAUCCCCGGGCUCAACCUGGGAACUGCCUGUGUGACUGCAAGGCUAGAGUACGGCAGAGGGGGGUGGAAUUCCGCGUGUAGCAGUGAAAUGCGUAGAUAUGCGGAGGAACACCGAUGGCGAAGGCAACCCCCUGGGCCUGUACUGACGCUCAUGCACGAAAGCGUGGGGAGCAAACA
RNAcentral lists this ribosomal RNA (423 nucleotides) under uncultured bacterium. RNAcentral describes it as "partial 16S ribosomal RNA". It matches the Rfam family "Bacterial small subunit ribosomal RNA", at positions 359 to 774 of the family's 1533-position model. The record is from RNAcentral.